This 254-nucleotide ribosomal RNA is filed under the name uncultured bacterium. RNAcentral's name for it is "partial 16S ribosomal RNA". It matches the Rfam family "Bacterial small subunit ribosomal RNA", at positions 524 to 777 of the family's 1533-position model. The record is from RNAcentral.
UACGAAGGGUGCAAACGUUGCUCGGAAUCAUUGGGCGUAAAGCGCACGUAGGCGGCCCAGCAAGUUGGAUGUGAAAUCCCUCGGCUCAACCAAGGAAGUGCAUCCGAAACUGCUGAGCUUGAGUACUUAAGAGGAUCGCGGAAUUCCCGGUGUAGAGGUGAAAUUCGUAGAUAUCGGGAGGAACACCAGUGGCGAAGGCGGCGAUCUGGGAAGAUACUGACGCUGAGGUGCGAAAGCGUGGGGAGCAAACAGGG